This 503-nucleotide ribosomal RNA is filed under the name uncultured bacterium. RNAcentral describes it as "bacterial SSU rRNA". It matches the Rfam family "Bacterial small subunit ribosomal RNA", at positions 897 to 1397 of the family's 1533-position model. The record is from RNAcentral.
AAACUCAAAUGAAUUGACGGGGGCCCGCACAAGCGGUGGAGCAUGUGGUUUAAUUCGAUGCAACGCGAAGAACCUUACCUACUCUUGACAUCCUGCGAAGCCUUUAGAGAUCGCUUGGUGCCUUCGGGAGCGCAGAGACAGGUGCUGCAUGGCUGUCGUCAGCUCGUGUUGUGAAAUGUUGGGUUAAGUCCCGUAACGAGCGCAACCCUUGUCCUUAUUUGCCAGCAGGUAAUGCCGGGAACUCUAAGGGAGACUGCCGGUGACAAACCGGAGGAAGGUGGGGACGACGUCAAGUCAUCAUGGCCCUUACGAGUAGGGCUACACACCUGUUACAAUGGCCGGUACAAAGGGCAGCGAGCUCAGCGAGAGUCAGCUAAUCCCGAAAAGCCGGUCUCAGUCCGGAUUGGAGUCUGCAACUCGACUCCAUGAAGUCGGAAUCGCUAGUAAUCGUGAAUCAGAAUGUCACGGUGAAUACGUUCCCGGGCCUUGCACACACCGCCCGU